UUACGACCAUACAACAUUGAAAAACCGGUUCUCGUACGAUCACCGGAGUUAAGCAAUGCCAAGUCUGGUCAGUAGAUGUGUGGGUGACCGCUUGGGAUUACCAGGUACU
Non-coding RNA from Acanthosepion pharaonis, 109 nucleotides. NCBI's taxonomy places the organism in Eukaryota, Metazoa, Mollusca, Cephalopoda, Sepiida, Sepiidae. The record is from the annotation of a GenBank genome assembly.